This 586-nucleotide ribosomal RNA is filed under the name Artomyces pyxidatus. RNAcentral's name for it is "partial 18s ribosomal RNA". It matches the Rfam family "Bacterial small subunit ribosomal RNA", at positions 379 to 945 of the family's 1533-position model. Lineage: Eukaryota; Fungi; Basidiomycota; Agaricomycetes; Russulales; Auriscalpiaceae. The record is from RNAcentral.
NNNNNNNAANGNACUAGNUCCCUGAAAUCAAUCUACAUUAAAUAAUAUUGAUUGAUAACGUAAGGGAAAAAUAAUGAUAUUACCUUACUAAUAGUGUUGUCCAAAGCUGGUGCCAGAAGACUCGGUAAGGCCAGAAACGCAAACGUUAGUCGUCUUAAUCAGGCGUAAAGGGUGUGUAGGCGGCUUAAAAAUUUUCCUUUUCUAUAUUGCUCUAAUUNGAAAUAAGUAAAGUAUAAAAAAAAANUAAGGUAAAUUUAGUUUUAAGGGGGAAGAAUUUAAGCUAGAAUCNAAUAGAGGAUAUAUUAAAUAAUGCUUAAAAUAGGUCUGAUAUCCUUAGAUAUUAAGUAGAAUAUUAAAGGCGAAGGCUUUUUUUCCNNAAAUGAUUGACGCUGAGAAACGAAGGUGAGGAUAGGAAAUAGGAUUAGAUACCCAAAAUACCCCUCUCUGUCAACGAUGAAUGGUAGUUACUAGUAAAUGAAUUAUUGGUGGCGAUGUUAACACGAUAACCAUUCCGCCUUGUGAGUACGACUNCAAAGUUGAAAACCCAAAAAAUUAUUCGGUCUCGAANCNUAACGGANUGNAUCAU